UGGCUUUAGUUGACCGGAUGG
RNAcentral lists this non-coding RNA (21 nucleotides) under Arabidopsis thaliana (thale cress). The record is from RNAcentral. Lineage: Eukaryota; Viridiplantae; Streptophyta; Magnoliopsida; Brassicales; Brassicaceae.